AGUCACUGACAUUAGAUACCCGGGUAGUCCCAGCCGUAAACAAUGUGCGUUAGGUGUGUCGGUAACCACGCGUUACUGAUGCGCCGAAGAGAAAUCGUGAAACGCACCACCUGGGAAGUACGGUCGCAAGGCUGAAACUUAAAGGAAUUGCGGGGAGCAUCACAACAGGUGGAGCCUGCGGUUUAAUUGGAUUCAACGCCGGACAUCUCACCGGAUAAGACAGCUGAAUGAUUGUCAAUCUGAAGGUUUUACAUGACUAGCUG
Molecule: ribosomal RNA, 263 nt
Filed under: uncultured archaeon
Lineage: Archaea
Description: partial 16S ribosomal RNA
Rfam family: Archaeal small subunit ribosomal RNA
Source: RNAcentral